CGGGGCUUGGCGGAACGGUAGACGCAAGGGGCUUAAAACCCCUCGGGCUUCGGCCCAUGCUGGUUCGAGUCCAGCAGCCCCGACCA
RNAcentral lists this transfer RNA (86 nucleotides) under Alphaproteobacteria bacterium. RNAcentral's name for it is "tRNA-Leu". It matches the Rfam family "tRNA". From Rfam's summary of the family: Transfer RNA (tRNA) molecules are approximately 80 nucleotides in length. Their secondary structure includes four short double-helical elements and three loops (D, anti-codon, and T loops). Further hydrogen bonds mediate the characteristic L-shaped molecular structure. tRNAs have two regions of fundamental functional importance: the anti-codon, which is responsible for specific mRNA codon recognition, and the 3' end, to which the tRNAs corresponding amino acid is attached (by aminoacyl-tRNA synthetases). tRNAs cope with the degeneracy of the genetic code in two manners: having more than one tRNA (with a specific anti-codon) for a particular amino acid; and 'wobble' base-pairing, i.e. permitting non-standard base-pairing at the 3rd anti-codon position. The record is from RNAcentral. Lineage: Bacteria; Pseudomonadati; Pseudomonadota; Alphaproteobacteria.